UACCCCGUGGUGUAAUGGCAGCACAACAGGUUCUGGCCCUGUUAGUUAUGGUUCGAAUCCAUACGGGGUAACCA
RNAcentral lists this transfer RNA (74 nucleotides) under Lentisphaeria bacterium. Its description in RNAcentral is "tRNA-Gln". It matches the Rfam family "tRNA". From Rfam's summary of the family: Transfer RNA (tRNA) molecules are approximately 80 nucleotides in length. Their secondary structure includes four short double-helical elements and three loops (D, anti-codon, and T loops). Lineage: Bacteria; Pseudomonadati; Lentisphaerota; Lentisphaeria. The record is from RNAcentral.